CAGCAAACAACUACACUGGCUGAUCAAAAGGGAAGUGACAUCAGAGAACAAAGAGUCAACAGGACAAAGGACCUUAUGAAUGUGCUUUCUAUUGUUCUUCCCCUUAUAAAAAUGUAGGUAUUGUGUGCAAAAAGGAUCCAUAUUGAAGAAAAAGGAACUAUGGGUGGAGGACGUUACACUUUUCAGGUGCAAGAGGAACAGUAGAAAGAGGACCAUGACUCAGGACUACCUGGCUUGACGACUCCUGGCUGUUCCUGUCCCCAGUCCACCUGGUCGUGCUGCUGAUCCAGUUUCUUCUGUUCUGCCUGCGGCUAUGGAACCCUGACCUGUUCACCGGAUCUGCUACCUUGUCCAGGACAUGCUGUUUCAAGCCUCCCCACAUGAAAAAAAAAUAAAUUUUAUACUAUGGCAUAAAUACUAUAGUAUUUAUGGGAACACAGGCCUCCCAUGUGGUGCAGUGGUCUAAGGCACUGCAUCGCAGUGCUAGCUGUGCCGCUAGAGAUCCUGGUUCGAGUCCAGGCUCUGUCGUGACCGGGAGACCCAUGGGGUGGCGCACAAUUGUCCCAGCGUUGUCUGGGUUAGGGGAAGGUUUGGCUGGCAGGGAUCUUCUUGUCCCAUCAUGCACUAGCGACUCCUGUGACAGGCCGGGCAUAAUAUAUGCUGACACAGUCGCCAGGUGUACGGUGGUUCCUCCGACACAUUGGUGCGGCUGGCUUCUUGGUUAAACUGUCAUGUUUCUGCGGACUGUAGUGUUUUUGUGGACAUUACUGUAGUAUUUCAUAAUUUUUUGGGAUAAUACUGUAAUAUUUACUAUCGAAGAUAUGGGCAACUUUGAUUGGCGUGGGGGUCACAGAAAAUCUGAACUCAUCAUGAGGGGCCACAGUGGAUCAUAGAUCUGUGUACCCACAUCCAGUCAAACCCUCCCUCUUGACAGUGGAGAGAAAAAUAUGUAGAUUUAGAGUUCAUUUCCUGGAAUUCUAUACAUUUUGCCACAGGGUGGAGAGAAAUGUUUGCCAUGACAGUGACUAACAAAAUCAAUUGGGGCCCGCGGUCGGUAAUUCAACC
Molecule: long non-coding RNA, 1065 nt
Filed under: Salmo salar (Atlantic salmon)
Lineage: Eukaryota; Metazoa; Chordata; Actinopteri; Salmoniformes; Salmonidae
Description: lncRNA (ENSSSAG00000116143.1)
Source: RNAcentral